CCUACGGGCGGCAGCAGUAGGGAAUUUUCGGCAAUGGGGGGAACCCUGACCGAGCAACGCCGCGUGAACGAAGAAGUUAUUCGUAAUGUAAAGUUCUAUUAACAGGGAAGAAAGAGAAAGUUGCCGGUACCUGAAGAAUAAGCUCAGGCUAACUAAGGACCAGCAGCCGCGGUAAUACGUAGGGAGCGAGCGUUAUCCGGAUUUAGUGGGUUUAAAGGGUGCGUAGGCGGACUGUUAAGUCAGCGGUAAAAGCCCGGGGCUCAACCCCGGCGAGCCGUUGAAACUGGCGGUCUUGAGAUGUCGAGAGGUAUGCGGAAUGCGCAGUGUAGCGGUGAAAUGCUUAGAUAUUGCGCAGAACUCCGAUUGCGAAGGCAGCAUACCGGCGGCUAUCUGACGCUGAGGCACGAAAGCGUGGGUAUCGAACAGGAUUAGAUACCCGAGUAGUC
RNAcentral lists this ribosomal RNA (446 nucleotides) under uncultured bacterium. RNAcentral's name for it is "partial 16S ribosomal RNA". It matches the Rfam family "Bacterial small subunit ribosomal RNA", at positions 338 to 795 of the family's 1533-position model. The record is from RNAcentral.